CCCCCCCGUAAAAAAAAAAAACCCCCGGGUUUUUUAAAACCGGGGGGUUAAAAAAAACCGGGGGGGUUUUUUUAAACGGGGGUUUUUAAAAAAAAAACCCCCGGUUUUUUAAACGGGGGGUAAAAAAACCGGGGGUUUAAAAACCCCCGGUUUAAAC
This is a non-coding RNA of Meleagris gallopavo (turkey), 157 nucleotides long. Lineage: Eukaryota; Metazoa; Chordata; Aves; Galliformes; Phasianidae. The record is from Ensembl.